CAUCAUACAAUAAAUACAAUAGGACGAUUGGCAGCCGGGUGAACUUUCAGUCAGUUUGCCACUUUCAUCUUCAACGUGCGCACGCGCUUUUCUCUGUUCUGAGACUCUAUCCUGUUCAUUCUGUUGUAUUUGUUACCACUGUUGAGUUUGUUAAUAUUGCUCUUGAGUUUCUAACUACGCAAUACCGAAUAUGCCACAUUUAAAAGAGGAAGUGAGGAUUGCUUGCGCCCUAAUAAAUGCCUUCGGAAAACGGGUGACAGAUCACCCACUCGUAAAUGAAAUAAGCAACGAUAUAUACCUUAAGCACGACGCCCCAAACUAUCUGUGCGAGUUUGUAAUACAAAACAAUUUAAAUCAACGCAGAGCCGCUUUCCAAGCUAUGAACUCAAGUGAAGGCUUUCAACAGUUUCCCAUCUUAUCAUAUGAGGAUCUGUUGAUAAUGUCUCUGGGGCCGUAUCAAGUGACGCAGGCAAGAAGCUACUAUGGCGAACACCUAAAAGAAAACGGAACGUUUUUCAUUGAAGUGUAUGAAGAUUUUGAAGUUGACUAUAAUUUAAAUCAAUACAACUUAGUAGUUUGUGAUCCUUGGCUGACAAGAGCUAAAAUACUCUCGAGGCACCAGAGCAACAGAAUUUAUUUUGUAUAUAUCUUGCUAAAUAAUAGUUUGAAAAACAGAAAUAAACUUGUCGGUCACUAUUGCAGCUGUAUAGUUGGAAAACGGACACUCGGGUGCUAUGCUCAUGUCAUGUGCAUAGUUUGGUAUAUGGGAUGGGCUCGGCACCAAGAAAUUCAA
Molecule: long non-coding RNA, 793 nt
Organism: Pectinophora gossypiella (pink bollworm)
Lineage: Eukaryota; Metazoa; Arthropoda; Insecta; Lepidoptera; Gelechiidae
Exons: 2
Source: RefSeq, a predicted model, not a curated record